This 299-nucleotide transfer-messenger RNA is filed under the name Flavobacteriaceae bacterium. Its description in RNAcentral is "partial transfer-messenger RNA". It matches the Rfam family "transfer-messenger RNA", at positions 1 to 272 of the family's 374-position model. Rfam says of the family: Bacterial tmRNA, also known as 10Sa RNA or SsrA, is named for its dual tRNA and mRNA-like properties. Its role is to liberate the mRNA from a stalled ribosome. Lineage: Bacteria; Pseudomonadati; Bacteroidota; Flavobacteriia; Flavobacteriales; Flavobacteriaceae. The record is from RNAcentral.
GGGGUCGACUGGUUUUGACAGCGAGGUCUAUGGAUCAGUAAGCAUGUCGCGUCAUGAUAUUGAAACGCGUUAAAGGCGAUAUCAAAUUUUAAACGGCGAGAAUAACUACGCUUUAGCUGCUUAAUAAUCUGAAUUAUAGUAAGAUUUAAGCCUGGUCCCGCAAGGCGGGAAAGCUAAAUGUCUCUUGAAAGCCCUGGUAUACGGCGUUCAGCAUAGAGGCAUCGUAAAAGUAAACCUAGAGAAGAUAAUGCUUUGGUGUCUUCUCGAAAUUAAAAAGCUAAGUUAUAAGUAUGCAGUUU